RNAcentral lists this ribosomal RNA (800 nucleotides) under uncultured bacterium. RNAcentral describes it as "bacterial SSU rRNA". It matches the Rfam family "Bacterial small subunit ribosomal RNA", at positions 28 to 866 of the family's 1533-position model. The record is from RNAcentral.
GGUGAACGCUGGCGGUAUGCCUAAGACAUGCAAGUCGCACGGACUGUUUCGGCAGUUAGUGGCGGACGGGUGAGUAACGCGUAGGAGACCUACCCCAAAGUCUGGGACAACUAGGAGAAAUCUUAGCUAAUCCCGGAUGUGAACCUUGGUUCUGACCAAUGUUCAAAGCUUCGGCGCUUUGGGAUGGGCCUGCGUUGGAUCAGGUAGUUGGUGGGGUAAGAGCCUACCAAGCCGACGACCCAUAGCUGGUCUGAGAGGACGACCAGCCACAGGGGUACUGAGACACGGACCCCACUCCUACGGGAGGCAGCAGUUAGGAAUCUUCCGCAAUGGGCGAAAGCCUGACGGAGCGAUACCGCUUGAAGGACGAAGCCCUUCGGGGUGUAAACUUCUGAACUCGGGACGAUGAUGACGGUACCGAGGUAAUAGCACCGGCUAACUCCGUGCCAGCAGCCGCGGUAAUACGGAGGGUGCGAGCGUUACCCGGAUUUACUGGGUGUAAAGGGCGUGUAGGCGGUCUAUCAAGUCCGAUGCUAAAGACCGGGGCUCAACCCCGGGGGUGCGUUGGAUACUGUGAGGCUAGACGGUCGGAGAGGGUAGCGGAAUUUCCGGAGUAGCGGUGAAAUGCGCAGAUACCGGAAGGAACGCCAAUAGCGAAAGCAGCUACCUGGACGAUAUGUGACGCUGAGGCGCGAAAGCGUGGGGAGCAAACCGGAUUAGAUACCCGGGUAGUCCACGCCCUAAACGAUGAGUGCUGGGUGUCCGACAGCUGUUGGGUGCCGAAGCUAACGCGUUAAGCA